RNAcentral lists this ribosomal RNA (484 nucleotides) under uncultured bacterium. RNAcentral's name for it is "partial 16S ribosomal RNA". It matches the Rfam family "Bacterial small subunit ribosomal RNA", at positions 28 to 507 of the family's 1533-position model. The record is from RNAcentral.
AUUGAACGCUGGCGGCAUGCUUUACACAUGCAAGUCGAACGGCAGCGCGGGCUUCGGCCUGGCGGCGAGUGGCGAACGGGUGAGUAAUGCAUCGGAACGUGCCCAGUAGUGGGGGAUAGCCCGGCGAAAGCCGGAUUAAUACCGCAUACGACCUGAGGGUGAAAGCGGGGGACCGAAAGGCCUCGCGCUAUUGGAGCGGCCGAUGUCGGAUUAGCUAGUUGGUGGGGUAAAGGCUUACCAAGGCGACGAUCCGUAGCUGGUCUGAGAGGACGACCAGCCACACUGGGACUGAGACACGGCCCAGACUCCUACGGGAGGCAGCAGUGGGGAAUUUUGGACAAUGGGGGCAACCCUGAUCCAGCCAUGCCGCGUGCGGGAAGAAGGCCUUCGGGUUGUAAACCGCUUUUGUUCGGGAAGAAAUCCUCUGGGCUAAUACCCCGGGGGGAUGACGGUACCGGAAGAAUAAGCACCGCCUAACUACGUG